UACGUAGGUGGCGAGCGUUGUCCGGAUUUACUGGGCGUAAAGCGCGCGCAGGCGGCAGUCUAAGUCCUCUGUGAAAUCACCCGGCUCAACUGGGUGGCUGCGGAGGAGACUGGGCAGCUUGAGGGGCCUAGAGGCCGGUGGAACUCCCGGUGUAGUGGUGAAAUGCGUAGAUAUCUGGAGGAACACCGGUGGCGAAGGCGGCAUCCUGGACCAACACUGACGCUGAUGAGCGAAAGCCAGGGGAGCAAACGGG
Molecule: ribosomal RNA, 253 nt
Filed under: uncultured bacterium
Lineage: Bacteria
Description: partial 16S ribosomal RNA
Rfam family: Bacterial small subunit ribosomal RNA
Source: RNAcentral